This is a long non-coding RNA of Lucilia cuprina (Australian sheep blowfly), 1821 nucleotides long. RefSeq lists it as uncharacterized. The transcript is spliced from 4 exons. The record is from RefSeq and is a predicted model, not a curated record. NCBI's taxonomy places the organism in Eukaryota, Metazoa, Arthropoda, Insecta, Diptera, Calliphoridae.
GCGCUUGUAGUAGAAAGCAAUGAUUUUAUGUAUUUUUAUUUCAAAAUUGUAAUUUUGUUGAACAACUUUUCUGUUGAGAAGAGUUUCAUUUGAAUUUAACGGUUUUUGGAGAUUUGGUUUCAAAUGACAUUUCAAUUUGUUGACAGCUUGUAUUAAAUGAUAAUGCAGUGCUGUUGUCAAAAGAUAAAAGGAAGACAUUUUCGAUAUAUAUUUUGGUAUUGGUUUUUCUUAUUUUGUAUGUGUUAGUUUUUGCUGAAAAAACAUUAGAUUUCCAAAUUUUCCAAAAUUUUUCUCUCAAAUAUUGGGUAUAAAAAGGAAGCCAUUGCCCAAAAUCUUUCCUUUUUGCCUGCUGCUACCUACCAGUUUUCUUAAAAAAAAAACGUCGUUACUCUGCCGGAAAAUUUAUUUAAAAAAAAAAUAAAGAAGUUUUUUUUUGAAAUUUUUUAAAUAAAUUUGGCUUAAAUUGUUCGCAUUUCGUGAAAGGAUCUUUUGGAUUUUAUAUCCACAAAAUUAUAUGUAACAGGAUAAUAAAAUAAUUAACGCCAAUAUCACAAAUUUCAACUCAAAAGUAGGCAGAAAGUGUUUUUAUUUACCCAGCGGCAACAAAAGUCAAAGAAAAAGAAAAUCGUUUGUUUUUAUUUACAAAAAGCACACAAACACACCUACGUCAAUUUGAUAUAUUUGACAAAAUUCUUCCUAGCGACGAAACCUCCAGGCACAAAAUCUUCGCCUGGGAAGGCUUCGUCCACAAUCGUGCCUUCUUCGGCGUAAAACCAAACCUUCAGGGAAAGCUUUAGGUUGCAAUACUAAGGUCUUAGAGACGAGGAGAAAAGUGUGAAAAGUGCGGGGAAAAUGUCAAUUGUUUAAAGAAAAAAAAAACAAAAGAACACUCCAAAGUUAUAAUAAAAAUCAGAAAAAUAAUCUGUGUGAAAGUUCGUGGAGAGUAAUUUUGAAAAUUUCAUAAAAAGUUUCACAAAAAUUUUUAAUUAUUUAGAAAAAGAAAAAUUUAAAAACUAAAAAAAAAAAAACUAAAAACCUUAAAAGAAUCAACAAGAAGAACAAGAAAAAUAACAAAAAGAAACAAAGUUUAAAUAUUAAUCUUUAUUUAAUCAAAUUUUAAAAUUUUUACAAAAUGUGUUUAUAAAUUAAUUCGUAAAAUAUCGAUUGUUCUUAAAUCUAUCACUUUUUUUUACUUUUUUUUUAAUUAUUUUAUUUUUUUUUUCGUAAUAUCUAACUAAAUCACUUUUUUUUGUUGAUCACUCGCGACAGAAAACUAAAGAAACUAAAUGUAAUGCAAAAAUCAAUAUUGUUAGUGGUGAAAAAGUAUAAUUUAUAAAAAUAUUUUAAAGCAAGUGUCAAAAUAAUAUAAAAACAAAAAUAUUAGUAAAAAAAGAAACAAAAUUAAAAAAAAAAAAUGUACAUUGAGUUCAAAUGUUAAUAACAUAAAAUGUUAAUCUGUAAUUUUAAACACAUAAAUUUUUAAAAAUUUCAACAAAAUUAUAUACACAAACAUCUACAGGAAGCAGACGAAAGAUCUUUCGACGUGGGAUCCUGGUAAAUGUAAGUUUAGUUGCUCAUUUUUUUAUGUUAUUUUCAUUUUUUCUUUUAAACAAACAAAAUAUUAAUAAAAACACAUAACAUCCACUGAUACGUACAUACAGAAUGUUUAAUAAGUAAAUAUUGUUAACAGAAAAAUUCGUUAACAUGAGUGUAAUUGUUAAAAUCAUCUUAUAUCAGUGUAUGUAAUGUCUUUUAUUUAUUCUCAAAUACAUUUAAUAUUUUACAUUUCUGUAAUUACAUGUAAAUUACAUAAAUGUUUAA